RNAcentral lists this long non-coding RNA (702 nucleotides) under Homo sapiens (human). Its description in RNAcentral is "HSALNT0367657". The record is from RNAcentral. Lineage: Eukaryota; Metazoa; Chordata; Mammalia; Primates; Hominidae.
CUGUGUACCUCCGAGAGAGAGGAGUCACUUUCAUCAGACCUAUAGUGAAAGAGUUAGAAUUAUGAGAGAAAGAAUACAGAUGUCAACAGAAUGAGUAAAACAUGUUCAAAUAGGAAAACCAUGACUUUGAAUGGUAAACUGUAGAAGAGUAACAUCCUUCUGAAUGAGAUGGGUACAUAUGAAUACUGAAGAGUCAUAACCAGUCUGGCCAGAGCCCAGAGGAUCUCACUCAGAUGGUCACCAACUCAGGCCCUCUUCAGGACCAAGUUUGGUCUGAAGCAUUAUGGUUACCUGGGCAGCAGGACACACAAACAACUCACUGUUGUACUCUCAACUCUGAGAACACAACUCUAGCCCAAGGUUAGCUUCUUUUCUUAUCACAAUAGCUUUAAAGCCAAAGACAAAACAAAACUCCCAAAUACCCUAAAGUUAAUCUAUAUCAUUGUAAAGUUUCACAGUCUCACUUCACUGGAAGUUAACCAAACAGUUGGAUUUUUAAAAGUCUUCCUUUAAAGUUAUUCUUUUAAAAAGUUUUUUAUAUAUAUAGCUUCUGUAUACUAAUUAUAUAUUUAAAAAUUUAACAUUGCAGCCCCUGAGACCGCCGUCCUUAGAAAGGCCUGCUUGGAAAACUGGACUUUGGCUGACAUCUAAAAACAGCUCUCAGAGCGUUCCCAGUCAACUGUUAGCCAAUAAAAGUGGCUC